This 25-nucleotide non-coding RNA is filed under the name Rattus norvegicus (Norway rat). Lineage: Eukaryota; Metazoa; Chordata; Mammalia; Rodentia; Muridae. The record is from RNAcentral.
UGGUGACUUGAGUGGGUAUCCAUGA